RNAcentral lists this microRNA precursor (135 nucleotides) under Hordeum vulgare. RNAcentral's name for it is "microRNA MIR1122". It matches the Rfam family "MIR1120/MIR1122 microRNA precursor family". The record is from RNAcentral. Lineage: Eukaryota; Viridiplantae; Streptophyta; Magnoliopsida; Poales; Poaceae.
GAUGUACUCCCUCUGUCCUAAAAUUCUUGUCUUAGAUUUGUAUAGAAAUAGAUGUAUCAAAAUACUAAAUGUGACUAUAUACAUUCAUAUCUAUACAAAUCUAAGAUAAGAAUUUUAUGACGGAGGGAGUAUUUG